Molecule: long non-coding RNA, 375 nt
Filed under: Mytilus galloprovincialis (Mediterranean mussel)
Lineage: Eukaryota; Metazoa; Mollusca; Bivalvia; Mytilida; Mytilidae
Source: RNAcentral
GUGAAAACCCUUAUCACUGUGGUGUAUGUGGUAAACAGUUUACUCAGCUUAGUAUUUUACUAAACCACAUGAGAACACAUACUGAUGAUAAACAUCAUUAACCUGUGGUGUAAGUGAUCAAGCGUUUAGUAAGCAAUGUGAUUUAUAGACUCACAUGAGAACACAAACAGGCCUAGGUGAUUUAUAGACUCACAUGAGAACACAUACAGGUGAUUUAUAGACUCACAUGAAAACACAUACAGGUGAUUUAUAGACUCACAUGAGAACACAUACAGAUGAUUUAUAGACUCACAUGAGAACACAUACAGGUGAUUUAUAGACUCACAUGAGAAAACAUACAGGUGAUUUAUAGACUCACAUGAGAACACAUAAAGG